Molecule: non-coding RNA, 24 nt
Filed under: Arabidopsis thaliana (thale cress)
Lineage: Eukaryota; Viridiplantae; Streptophyta; Magnoliopsida; Brassicales; Brassicaceae
Source: RNAcentral
CAAAAGGACCAUGGGCUCAGCCAA